This is a long non-coding RNA of Cydia pomonella (codling moth), 804 nucleotides long. RefSeq lists it as uncharacterized. The transcript has 3 exons. The record is from RefSeq and is a predicted model, not a curated record. Lineage: Eukaryota; Metazoa; Arthropoda; Insecta; Lepidoptera; Tortricidae.
CUCUUGUAAAUGCUCAACGAUUCAUUAAAUGAAACGCUCAUGUACUUAGCAUUUCUCGGUUCUAGUUUUUGGUUUAUGGCUGAGUUGAAUAACAACCGAGCGAUUUUAUAUACUUACUUAAGUACGUACGUUUUCAUUUAACUAGUUUAUUAUAGGUAACCAUUCCACAAUUACACACUACACUUCCACACGUGGGAAUUCUCAGAAAAUAGUGUACCCAAUUAGCGCGAGUUGUUAAAAAACGAUAAUUACUGUAAAUUUUGUGACGACAAUUAAACUUCAAUUUCAAUAAAGACUUGGUUUUGGUGUAUAUUUCAUAAACUAUAUAGUAGAUACCCCUAUAAUGGAACAGGAACCGGUAAUGGGACAUAAAACCACAUUUUUUUUAAAAUAAGUAACUAAAACUAGUUUAUAAGUACUGGCAACCUUUUACCAUAAACAAGCAAGAGUCAUAGAGCAUCUUAAGUUUGAUGUUUCAUUAAAUUUGCUUUUUUCUUAAGAAAUUGUCGCCAAGCCAAAAUGAAAAAAUAAUUAGUCAGAAUUCUUAACAACUCCGCUAAAAGAGGGUUCGCUCAGCUACCAAAGUUUAAAAUGAUUAUAGACAUUAUAGUACUUCUUAAGUCCAUAAAAACAUCUCAGUGGCACGAACCAGGAUUCGCACCUACAUGCUCCGGGUUGAAAGAGAUUCCAUAAAGGAGGUUCUGAAAGCGCGGACCGCGGCGUCCUGGCGGGCCGCGUAGGAGCCGCCAAUCCCCAGGGCAGGCGCCACGGUGUCAUCCAUGAACCGGUACGAGUCUAGCCCAA